Molecule: transfer RNA, 74 nt
Filed under: Caldifarciminota bacterium 4484_18
Lineage: Bacteria; Pseudomonadati; Caldifarciminota
Also listed under: 1 other name
Description: tRNA-Val
Rfam family: tRNA
About the family: Transfer RNA (tRNA) molecules are approximately 80 nucleotides in length. Their secondary structure includes four short double-helical elements and three loops (D, anti-codon, and T loops). Further hydrogen bonds mediate the characteristic L-shaped molecular structure. tRNAs have two regions of fundamental functional importance: the anti-codon, which is responsible for specific mRNA codon recognition, and the 3' end, to which the tRNAs corresponding amino acid is attached (by aminoacyl-tRNA synthetases). tRNAs cope with the degeneracy of the genetic code in two manners: having more than one tRNA (with a specific anti-codon) for a particular amino acid; and 'wobble' base-pairing, i.e. permitting non-standard base-pairing at the 3rd anti-codon position.
Source: RNAcentral
GGGCAGAUAGCUCAGCAGGUAAGAGCGCCGGUCUCACAUGCCGGAGGUCGGAGGUUCGAGUCCUCCUCUGCCCA